Molecule: small nuclear RNA, 141 nt
Filed under: Sapajus apella (tufted capuchin)
Lineage: Eukaryota; Metazoa; Chordata; Mammalia; Primates; Cebidae
Also listed under: 1 other name
Description: Cebus apella (Tufted capuchin) U4 spliceosomal RNA
Rfam family: U4 spliceosomal RNA
About the family: U4 small nuclear RNA (U4 snRNA) is a component of the major U2-dependent spliceosome. The structure of U4 snRNA from yeast and human has been reported. U4 snRNA presents a k-turn RNA motif in the 5p-SL related to recognition of Snu13 protein.
Source: Rfam by way of RNAcentral
AGCUUUGCAUAGUGGCAGUAUCAUAGCCAAUGAGGUUUAUCUGAGGCGCGAUUAUUGCUAAUUGGAAACUUUUCCCAAUACCCUGUGAUGAUGACUUGAAAUACAAUCGGCAUUGGCAAUUUUUGACAGUCUCUGCAGAGA